RNAcentral lists this unclassified non-coding RNA (338 nucleotides) under uncultured fungus. RNAcentral describes it as "sequence contains ITS1". The stretch from base 1 to 103 matches the Rfam family "5.8S ribosomal RNA", at positions 50 to 154 of the family's 154-position model. The record is from RNAcentral. Lineage: Eukaryota; Fungi.
GAAGUGCGAUAAGCAAUGCGAAUUGCAGAACCGUGAGUCAUCAGAUUUUUGAACGCAACUGGCGCCGGCUGGCUCUCCAGUCGGCAUGCUUGUUUCAGUGUCUUUUCAACUCAUCACCCAAAUCUUAAUGCGAGAGAUACCCUUCUCUUGUUAAGCAUGAAAGCACUCUGCGCUCUGCGAGCGACUUCGACUUGUUCGAGGUCGCACUCAAUGCAGCGGUCACAUUUCUAAUGUGAACUCAUUGGGAGUAGAGGCAGUGCGGCCUUACAGCUGCCAGUGCUUAGACACUCAAACUUUUUUUGUAUCUGAAAUCAAGCAGGAUCACCCGCUGAACUUAA